CCUACGGGAGGCAGCAGUGGGGAAUAUUGCUCAAUGGGGGAAACCCUGAUGCAGCGACGCCGCGUGAGUGAAGAAGUAUUUAGGUAUGUAAAGUCCUAUUAGCAGAGAAGAAAAUGACGGUAUCUAACUAAUAAGCACCGGCUAACUACGUGCCAGCAGCCGCGGUAAUACGUAGGGUGCAAGCGUUACCCGGAUUCACUGGGCGUAAAGGGUGCGUAGGCGGGGGGAUAAGUCAGAGGUGAAAUCCUGUAGCUUAACUACAGAACUGCCUUUGAAACUGUUAGGCUGGAGUGUAGGAGAGGUAGGUGGAAUGCUUGGUGUAGCGGUAAAAUGCGUAGAGAUCAAGAGGAAUACCGAUUGCGAAGGCGACUUGCUGGACCAUUACUGACGUUGAGGCACGAAAGCGUGGGGAGCAAACAGGAUUAGAUACCCUAGUAGUC
RNAcentral lists this ribosomal RNA (440 nucleotides) under uncultured bacterium. Its description in RNAcentral is "partial 16S ribosomal RNA". It matches the Rfam family "Bacterial small subunit ribosomal RNA", at positions 338 to 795 of the family's 1533-position model. The record is from RNAcentral.